Molecule: ribosomal RNA, 253 nt
Filed under: uncultured bacterium
Lineage: Bacteria
Description: partial 16S ribosomal RNA
Rfam family: Bacterial small subunit ribosomal RNA
Source: RNAcentral
UACAGAGGUCUCAAGCGUUGUUCGGAUUCAUUGGGCGUAAAGGGUGCGUAGGUGGCGUCGUAAGUCGGGUGUGAAAUUUCGGAGCUUAACUCCGAAACUGCAUUCGAUACUGCGGUGCUUGAGGACUGGAGAGGAGACUGGAAUUUACGGUGUAGCAGUGAAAUGCGUAGAGAUCGUAAGGAAGACCAGUGGCGAAGGCGGGUCUCUGGACAGUUCCUGACACUGAGGCACGAAAGCGUGGGGAGCGAACAGG